RNAcentral lists this long non-coding RNA (310 nucleotides) under Homo sapiens (human). RNAcentral describes it as "HSALNT0008297". The record is from RNAcentral. Lineage: Eukaryota; Metazoa; Chordata; Mammalia; Primates; Hominidae.
CAUGGCAGAGAUAGAAUAAAAACAGAAAAAUGGCGACGGUCACGUUGUGGCGAGCCUUGCUGCGUCAUUAGAUAAUCCUCAUGCAAAUAGCGGGAAGAACAAAGGAAGGGGAGCCCGGGACCCCCGGGGGCGCAGGAUCCGGCGGGAGGAGUCUAAGAGGAGGAGGCGGCGGUGCCGGAGGAGGAGGAGGAGGGAGGGAGAAGAGAGGAAGACCGGAGUCCCCGCGGCGGCGGCGGUCCGGAGAGAGGGCGAGCCCCGCGCGGCGCCGGGGACCGGGCGCUACCACGAGGCCGGGACGCUGGAGUCUGGG